AAAACGCCAUGCUGUUCAGUAACAGCAACGGCAAACACUCCCUUUGGACUGAGGCAUAACGCUUCGCUUCCCGCUUAAAUGGUUUUGCACUGAAGAGCUGGCACGUUACUCCCCACAGGUGGCUGCGUUUCAGCGGCUGGGUGACGGCAGCCUCCGUUUCUUCUUUCAGCCACAGUGAGUGCUAAACAUAACAUAGGGCUCCUCUAUUUCCACAGGCUAUUAACCUUCUAAAACAUUUACCUCUGAGGCUAAACUUCGCAGUGCUUCGGCUUCAAUUCCGAGAAAUAUCUCUAUUCAGAACCAACGCACUGAGAGGGAAUUAAGACCCCUUGCAACAAAUGGACACUGUUUCAGGCUGAGCCUAUGAACAAGAAUUUCCUGUUUUGCAGUGAGCACUGCUAGAGGACCUCUGCUACAUCAUUCCUAUUUUAACUCUGAAGAUGAGCCGCCUAUCCUGAAAAUACUGUUUUGACUGGUUUUGUGGAGGCUGGAGCCACAGCAGAGAAGAGGUAGCUCCUGGCGUACGAGGUCUGUGCGUACUCGCCGGGGCCGAGCUCUGUCACAGCAGCAGGAGUUUCCCCAUGGCUCAGCCCAUCCUCCUCAGCCUCUGCCCGAGUCACUGUAGGUAACUGCUCCGCCAGAUAAUACCAGGGAAAAAAGGUCUAUGGUAUUUAAUAUAUACUUGAUGCAAUUUUUUCUCCAUACGGAACGCCUUGUUUGACUAUAUCAGAUGUUCAAAUAGAGGCCAUUAGCAUUCUGUCUCUGAACAAAGCACUUUCCUCUGCACUAAGUUGUCCAGGUAAUGGUAAAAAGUAAUUCUGAAGGCUGAUACUAAGUAUAAUUGAACGCAUUCAGGGCACAACUGCAAAUCUUUUGAAGUCGUCAUAAACCAUGCAAAACUACUUCCUUGGUGACAGUUUGUUGAGCAUAAAACUGGAAUUUGAAGAGCCUAAGCUAUUGAUUUCCAUUCAGUGAGACACUCAGCACAGCUUACAGGUCUGUUACAUUCCAUAGAGAUGCAGUGUCUCCUGAACAUCGGAUGAUACCGUCUAUAUUAUAAAUAUCGCUACAACGCUGCUGGUGUGUGUGUGUGUGUGCACACAAUAGAUGCACAUUGGUAGCUAGGGUAGGAAUAUAUUUAUUUCGCACACUUUAAAUACUUUCAAAAUUAGGGAGCAGCAGAACUGUGGUUUUAUACAUUCUCCAUCUCUUGUCUAGUGCAUAUGGUGUCUAAAGUAACUAGCAGCAUGGUUUAAAAUAGCAAAAUUGUGACCACGACCUCAAAGGCAGCAUGGAUGGCUUCUCUAGAAUCUCUAGGUAUUUGUUUUAGAAAAUGUCUUUAUUCCUAUGUAUUAAAAGUUUGGGAAUUCCUCAGUGUUGCUGAUACAAGCAUUUGUGGAGCUGGGUGGAAUGGCUUCAAGCUAAAACCAAGCAAAAGAUGUCAUGAAUGUAAAGAGUAUUUCUUCCUUUUUUCAUCUUUGUUCUCUUAUUAUAUAUUGUAUACAGCUCGCGUUUGAGAUACCAUAAAUUGGAAAUCCCAUGCAGAUUUAGUAUCGUGUAGUCACUGGCACUGUAGCAAUAAUUAAACGGAGUUGUGAACAA
Molecule: non-coding RNA, 1602 nt
Organism: Phalacrocorax carbo (great cormorant)
Lineage: Eukaryota; Metazoa; Chordata; Aves; Suliformes; Phalacrocoracidae
Source: RefSeq, a predicted model, not a curated record